Molecule: ribosomal RNA, 419 nt
Filed under: uncultured bacterium
Lineage: Bacteria
Description: bacterial SSU rRNA
Rfam family: Bacterial small subunit ribosomal RNA
Source: RNAcentral
GAUGAACGCUGGCGGCGUGCUUAACACAUGCAAGUCGAACGAAGCACCUUGACUGAGACCUUCGGGUGGAUUUUGAGGUGACUGAGUGGCGGACGGGUGAGUAACGCGUGGGUAACCUGCCUUACAGAGGGGGAUAACAGUUGGAAACGGCUGCUAAUACCGCAUAAGCGCACAGGGUCGCAUGACCCAGUGUGAAAAACUCAGGUGCUGUAAGAUGGACCCGCGUUGGAUUAGCUAGUUGGCAGGGUAACGCCUACCAAGGCGACGAUCCAUAGCCGGCCUGAGAGGGUGACCGGCCACAUUGGGACUGAGACACGGCCCAAACUCCUACGGGAGCAGCAGUAGGGAAUCUUCCACAAUGGACGCAAGUCUGAUGGAGCAACGCCGCGUGAGUGAAGAAGGUUUUCGGAUCGUAAAGC